RNAcentral lists this small RNA (67 nucleotides) under Acididesulfobacillus acetoxydans. RNAcentral describes it as "Peptococcaceae bacterium INE non-coding RNA". Lineage: Bacteria; Bacillati; Bacillota; Clostridia; Eubacteriales; Peptococcaceae. The record is from RNAcentral.
GUUUCAAUUCCUCAUAGGCAGGCUAUCGGCGAAGACAUAUUGACGGUUUUCAUCCGCAAUGAUAUUG